RNAcentral lists this ribosomal RNA (253 nucleotides) under uncultured bacterium. RNAcentral describes it as "partial 16S ribosomal RNA". It matches the Rfam family "Bacterial small subunit ribosomal RNA", at positions 524 to 776 of the family's 1533-position model. The record is from RNAcentral.
UACGAAGGGUGCAAGCGUUACUCGGAAUUACUGGGCGUAAAGCGUGCGUAGGUGGUUCGUUAAGUCUGUCGUGAAAGCCCCGGGCUCAACCUGGGAAUGGCGAUGGAUACUGGCGAGCUAGAGUGCGGUAGAGGAGAGUGGAGUUCCCGGUGUAGCAGUGAAAUGCGUAGAGAUCGGGAGGAACAUCAGUUGCGAAGGCGGCUCUCUGGACCAGCACUGACACUGAGGCACGAAAGCGUGGGGAGCAAACAGG